Molecule: transfer RNA, 70 nt
Filed under: Crax globulosa
Lineage: Eukaryota; Metazoa; Chordata; Aves; Galliformes; Cracidae
Description: tRNA-Thr
Rfam family: tRNA
About the family: Transfer RNA (tRNA) molecules are approximately 80 nucleotides in length.
Source: RNAcentral
ACUCUAAUAGUUUACAGCAAAACAUUGGUCUUGUAAGCCAAAGAUCGAAGACCCCAACCUUCUUAGAGUG